Long non-coding RNA from Oryzias javanicus (javanese ricefish), 1672 nucleotides. The record is from Ensembl. Lineage: Eukaryota; Metazoa; Chordata; Actinopteri; Beloniformes; Adrianichthyidae.
AUUUAGAGACCAUGACUCCUCCCUGUUAAAUCUGACAUGUGUUUGUCCUUUGUGUAACAGGACACCAAAUUCUGCCUGUGUGACAAAAGCGGACUCGAAAAUGGACAAAUUCAGUUUUGCAAACUUUUAGAAAGUUCCCUCCUCUAACGAGUUUGGCUUAACCUUUUGAAAGGCCUAAUUGUCUCACACCUGUCGGGUUUGGUGUGAACAGUGGUGUGUUCAUGUGAUAGCAAUCAGGAGGGGAGGAGGAAGUGAGUUUCUGUGUCUGGCAGGUACUCGCAGGCAUCAGUUUUCUUCUACUUCCCGCCUCCUGCGUUUCUCAUUCUCUCACUGCAUGUAGCAGGAACUUCCACACAGCUUUUUCUCCAAGACUCCUCGGCAAGAACACCUAGACGAGUCCUGCAGCACCAACCUGAUCUACACAGAGAACUGCUGAGAACUCUGCCUCAGGUGUAUCCCCUUCUGCAAUGGAAACUUCCAUACCUGUAAAUGCAAGAGGCAUCGACUAUAGCCUGCCAACCUGCGGGGAGACUCAAUGUAAUAGCCGCGGCUCCUGUGAGCCCCCAGUGGGAGGGGGCACAAACCUGGUGUGCAAAUGUGUCCUGGGUUACAGCGGUGAAUUCUGUGAGGACACUGUGAACGGACAGCUGAGUCUGCCCCUGACCAUCAGUGUGGUGGCGGUCAUCGUCGGGCUGCUCAUCCUGGCUUUUAUAAUUGCCAAGUUGAGACAAAGACAAAAGCAAAAUAGGAAACUUAAGGCAGCUGAAGUUUACUGUUGAGGUGAAGAAUCUGAGUGUCGCAUUGCUUCAUGGCUGACUUGACAAAGUGCUGCAUCCUGACUGAUUGGUCAGAGUGAUCCCUGCUCCUGCCUCCGACCGCUUUCUGCUCCUGCUGUUAAACUGUCGCACAAAAAAGCAUGCAUAUGUACAUGCUUUUAAUGCAGUCUGCGUAAAUAUUUAGUAGAUAAAUCUAGUCAGCACUGGUAUUUUAUUAGUCGCUUAGAUUUUGCACUCGUCUGCUAAACCCAGAGGACGCAAUCUAGAGGAGAGCUCCUCUGCUGGAGAACAAAGUGAGAUGAAACUAUAAUGAAUUACAAUGCAUGCAUUUGUUUUUUUUAUUUGCAAGUCAAAGCCUAUUUUUAUGUUUGAACACACAAAUGUUUGCCUUAACCACUCUGUAUUUCUACAGAAAAUGAAUCAAGAUAAAGAAUUAAGCUGUUUUUGGUAACAUUUUUCUGCAUUUUUUUUACAUUUAUUGUGCUACAUUGUCCGUGUUUAUUGUCCAUAACUGACUGAAAUGUUUAUAAGAUUCCUUACCUGUGAAUGCUGGCAUAAGUAAUGCACAACAGUUUUUUGAAACAUUUUUUCUCUGGUUUUAUGCUUCUGAAUUAGCAUUUUCCAUUGAAUAAUCUCUUAAUUAAAUCUAACCUAAAAAUGAGCCCAAAUACAAAUCUUUUUUUCUUUUUUUUAUGACUGGUACAGUUAACUAAGCAUUUAUUUUCUUUACAUUUUCAUGUAUUUUUUUCUGUGCUAUUUUAUUAUCUGGUAUUUGUACUGCUUUUCUUUUAGACCACAGAUAACUGCUCUUUUUAAAUCAAAGCUUUUUACAUAAAAUGUUUAAUAAAAUAAUUUGCAAAGCUUAGUCUUCCCCUUAAUUCUAUGCUAAAAAUUUU